Molecule: ribosomal RNA, 899 nt
Filed under: uncultured archaeon
Lineage: Archaea
Description: bacterial SSU rRNA
Rfam family: Archaeal small subunit ribosomal RNA
Source: RNAcentral
CCGGACCUGACUGCUAUCGGAUUGAUACUAAGCCAUGCGAGUCGUUGUAGCAAUACAAGGCAUACGGCUCAGUAACGCGUAGUCAACCUAACCUAUGGACGGGAAUAACCUCGGGAAACUGAGAAUAAUGCCCGAUAGAACAUUAUGCCUGGAAUGGUUUAUGUUCCAAAUGAUAUAUCGCCAUAGGAUGGGACUGCGGCCUAUCAGUUUGUUGGUGAGGUAAUGGCCCACCAAGACUAUUACAGGUACGGGCUCUGAGAGGAGUAGCCCGGAGAUGGGUACUGAGACACGGACCCAGGCCCUAUGGGGCGCAGCAGGCGAGAAAACUUUGCAAUGUGCGAAAGCACGACAAGGUUAAUCCGAGUGAUUUCUGCUAAAGAGAUCUUUUGUUAGUCCUAGAAACACUAACGAAUAAGGGGUGGGCAAGUUCUGGUGUCAGCCGCCGCGGUAAAACCAGCACCUCAAGUGGUCAGGAUGAUUAUUGGGCCUAAAGCAUCCGUAGCCGGCUCUGUAAGUUUUCGGUUAAAUCUGUACGCUCAACGUACAGGCUGCCGGGAAUACUGCAGAACUAGGGAGUGGGAGAGGUAGACGGUACUCGGUAGGAAGUGGUAAAAUGCUUUGAUCUAUCGAUGACCACCUGUGGCGAAGGCGGUCUACCAGAACACGUCCGACGGUGAGGGAUGAAAGCUGGGGGAGCAAACCGGAUUAGAUACCCGGGUAGUCCCAGCUGUAAACUAUGCAAACUCAGUGAUGCAUUGGCUUGUGGCCAAUGCAGUGCUGCAGGGAAGCCGUUAAGUUUGCCGCCUGGGAAGUACGUACGCAAGUAUGAAACUUAAAGGAAUUGGCGGGGGAGCACCACAAGGGGUGAAGCCUGCGGUUCAAUUGGAGUCAACGCCGGG